Molecule: ribosomal RNA, 494 nt
Filed under: uncultured bacterium
Lineage: Bacteria
Description: partial 16S ribosomal RNA
Rfam family: Bacterial small subunit ribosomal RNA
Source: RNAcentral
GACGAACGCUGGCGGCGUGCUUAACACAUGCAAGUCGAACGGUGAAGCGCCUUCCUUUCUGGUGGGUGUGGAUGAGCGGCGAACGGGUGAGUAACACGUGAGCAACCCGCUACCUCUUUCUGGACAACCGCAUGCAAGAGUGGCUAAUACGGGAUAUUUUGGGCCUGUUGCAUGAUGGGUCUGGGAAAGAUUUUGUUUCGGUGGGGGAUGGGCUCGCGGCCUAUCAGCUUGUUGGUGAGGUGAUGGCCUACCAAGGCGGUGACGAGUAGCCGGCCUGAGAGGAUGGGCCGCCACAGUACGGCGACGAGACCGAGAAUACUCCGACGGGAGGCAGCAGUGAGUAUUAUUGCACGAGGGACAGAAGCCUGGUGCAGCGACGCCGGAGUAGUGAUGGUGGCCUUAGGGUUGUAAUCCUCUAUCACGGGUGAAGAAAUCCUUCCGUGUUUGUGGAUGGGUUGACGGUAGCUAGACAGAAAGCGCCGGCUAACUACGUG